UACAGAGGUGGCAAGCGUUGUUCGGAAUUACUGGGCGUAAAGGGCGCGUAGGCGGCCAUCUAAGUCAGACGUGAAAUCCCCCGGCUUAACCUGGGAACUGCGUCUGAUACUGGACGGCUGGAGUUUGGGAGAGGGAUGUAGAAUUCCAGGUGUAGCGGUGAAAUGCGUAGAUAUCAGGAGGAACACCGGUGGCGAAGGCGGGUCUCUGGGCCGAUACUGACGCUGAGGAGCGAAAGCGUGGGGAGCGAACAGG
This 253-nucleotide ribosomal RNA is filed under the name uncultured bacterium. Its description in RNAcentral is "partial 16S ribosomal RNA". It matches the Rfam family "Bacterial small subunit ribosomal RNA", at positions 524 to 776 of the family's 1533-position model. The record is from RNAcentral.